AGCGCAUACGGUGGAUGCCUUGGCAGUCAGAGGCGAUGAAAGACGUGGUAGCCUGCGAUAAGCUUCGGGGAGUCGGCAAACAGACUUUGAUCCGGAGAUCUCUGAAUGGGGGAACCCACCUGGCAUAAGUCAGGUAUCUUGUACUGAAUACAUAGGUGCAAGAGGCGAACCAGGGGAACUGAAACAUCUAAGUACCCUGAGGAAAAGAAAUCAACCGAGAUUCCCUUAGUAGUGGCGAGCGAACGGGGACUAGCCCUUAAGUGGCUUUGAGAUUAGCGGAACGCUCUGGAAAGUGCGGCCAUAGUGGGUGAUAGCCCUGUACGCGAAAAUCUCUUAGUCAUGAAAUCGAGUAGGACGGAGCACGAGAAACUUUGUCUGAAUAUGGGGGGACCAUCCUCCAAGGCUAAAUACUACUGACUGACCGAUAGUGAACCAGUACCGUGAGGGAAAGGCGAAAAGAACCCCGGAGAGGGGAGUGAAAUAGAUCCUGAAACCGUAUGCGUACAAGCAGUGGGAGCCUACUUGUUAGGUGACUGCGUACCUUUUGUAUAAUGGGUCAGCGACUUAUAUUCAGUGGCGAGCUUAACCGAAUAGGGGAGGCGUAGCGAAAGCGAGUCUUAAUAGGGCGUUUAGUCGCUGGGUAUAGACCCGAAACCGGGCGAUCUAUCCAUGGGCAGGUUGAAGGUUAGGUAACACUGACUGGAGGACCGAACCGACUACCGUUGAAAAGUUAGCGGAUGACCUGUGGAUCGGAGUGAAAGGCUAAUCAAGCUCGGAGAUAGCUGGUUCUCCUCGAAAGCUAUUUAGGUAGCGCCUCAUGUAUCACUGUAGGGGGUAGAGCACUGUUUCGGCUAGGGGGUCAUCCCGACUUACCAAACCGAUGCAAACUCCGAAUACCUACAAGUGCCGAGCAUGGGAGACACACGGCGGGUGCUAACGUCCGUCGUGAAAAGGGAAACAACCCAGACCGUCAGCUAAGGUCCCAAAGUUAUGGUUAAGUGGGAAACGAUGUGGGAAGGCUUAGACAGCUAGGAGGUUGGCUUAGAAGCAGCCACCCUUUAAAGAAAGCGUAAUAGCUCACUAGUCGAGUCGGCCUGCGCGGAAGAUGUAACGGGGCUCAAACCAUACACCGAAGCUACGGGUAUCACUUAGGUGAUGCGGUAGAGGAGCGUUCUGUAAGCCUGUGAAGGUGAGUUGAGAAGCUUGCUGGAGGUAUCAGAAGUGCGAAUGCUGACAUGAGUAACGACAAUGGGAGUGAAAAACUCCCACGCCGAAAGACCAAGGUUUCCUGCGCAACGUUAAUCGACGCAGGGUUAGUCGGUCCCUAAGGCGAGGCUGAAAAGCGUAGUCGAUGGAAAACAGGUUAAUAUUCCUGUACUUCUGGUUAUUGCGAUGGAGGGACGGAGAAGGCUAGGCCAGCUUGGCGUUGGUUGUCCAAGUUUAAGGUGGUAGGCUGAGAUCUUAGGUAAAUCCGGGAUCUUAAGGCCGAGAGCUGAUGACGAGUUGCCAUUAGGCGACGAAGUGGUUGAUGCCAUGCUUCCAAGAAAAGCUUCUAAGCUUCAGGUAACCAGGAACCGUACCCCAAACCGACACAGGUGGUUGGGUAGAGAAUACCAAGGCGCUUGAGAGAACUCGGGUGAAGGAACUAGGCAAAAUGGCACCGUAACUUCGGGAGAAGGUGCGCCGGUGAGGGUGAAGGACUUGCUCCGUAAGCUCAUGCCGGUCGAAGAUACCAGGCCGCUGCGACUGUUUAUUAAAAACACAGCACUCUGCAAACACGAAAGUGGACGUAUAGGGUGUGACGCCUGCCCGGUGCCGGAAGGUUAAUUGAUGGGGUUAGCUAACGCGAAGCUCUUGAUCGAAGCCCCGGUAAACGGCGGCCGUAACUAUAACGGUCCUAAGGUAGCGAAAUUCCUUGUCGGGUAAGUUCCGACCUGCACGAAUGGCGUAACGAUGGCGGCGCUGUCUCCACCCGAGACUCAGUGAAAUUGAAAUCGCUGUGAAGAUGCAGUGUAUCCGCGGCUAGACGGAAAGACCCCGUGAACCUUUACUAUAGCUUUGCACUGGACUUUGAAUUUGCUUGUGUAGGAUAGGUGGGAGGCUUUGAAGCGUGGACGCCAGUCUGCGUGGAGCCAUCCUUGAAAUACCACCCUGGCAACUUUGAGGUUCUAACUCAGGUCCGUUAUCCGGAUCGAGGACAGUGUAUGGUGGGUAGUUUGACUGGGGCGGUCUCCUCCUAAAGAGUAACGGAGGAGUACGAAGGUGCGCUCAGACCGGUCGGAAAUCGGUCGUAGAGUAUAAAGGCAAAAGCGCGCUUGACUGCGAGACAGACACGUCGAGCAGGUACGAAAGUAGGUCUUAGUGAUCCGGUGGUUCUGUAUGGAAGGGCCAUCGCUCAACGGAUAAAAGGUACUCCGGGGAUAACAGGCUGAUACCGCCCAAGAGUUCAUAUCGACGGCGGUGUUUGGCACCUCGAUGUCGGCUCAUCACAUCCUGGGGCUGAAGCCGGUCCCAAGGGUAUGGCUGUUCGCCAUUUAAAGUGGUACGCGAGCUGGGUUUAGAACGUCGUGAGACAGUUCGGUCCCUAUCUGCCGUGGACGUUUGAGAUUUGAGAGGGGCUGCUCCUAGUACGAGAGGACCGGAGUGGACGAACCUCUGGUGUUCCGGUUGUCACGCCAGUGGCAUUGCCGGGUAGCUAUGUUCGGAAGAGAUAACCGCUGAAAGCAUCUAAGCGGGAAACUUGCCUCAAGAUGAGAUCUCACUGGAGCCUUGAGCUCCCUGAAGGGCCGUCGAAGACUACGACGUUGAUAGGUUGGGUGUGUAAGCGCUGUGAGGCGUUGAGCUAACCAAUACUAAUUGCCCGUGAGGCUUGACC
Molecule: ribosomal RNA, 2875 nt
Filed under: Pseudomonas sp. NBRC 111117
Lineage: Bacteria; Pseudomonadati; Pseudomonadota; Gammaproteobacteria; Pseudomonadales; Pseudomonadaceae
Description: bacterial LSU rRNA
Rfam family: Bacterial large subunit ribosomal RNA
Source: RNAcentral